This is a long non-coding RNA of Cyprinus carpio (common carp), 1541 nucleotides long. RefSeq lists it as uncharacterized. The transcript is spliced from 3 exons. The record is from RefSeq and is a predicted model, not a curated record. Lineage: Eukaryota; Metazoa; Chordata; Actinopteri; Cypriniformes; Cyprinidae.
GAAGGUGGACUGUGAGACUGGAUUUCUGAUCAUCACAAACAUCACAACUGAACACACUGGACGUUAUGAAGCAGAGAUCAUCAGAAGUGAGGGUUCAGGAAAAAGACAAAACUUGAACAGAACCUCCAAGUGUAACAGCACAAAAAUCAUCCACAAAAGUAGCAUCUUCGUUAGCAAGAUCAGUAAAUCAUUUCUCUCUGACUGUCAGUGGUGAGUCAUUUUAAUGUCAUUUUCCCUGUAAUAAUUGAACCGUGAUCUCCAGACCUCUUUAUUGUCUUUUCCUGUAUGUUAAUGAUUUGUUACAGUUUGGACCCUUUUUCUGAAUCCUUAACAGUCUUAAUUAUAACUCAUCACUCUGACUGGUUGAACAGCUGAUAUUAUUAGUGUGAAACUGCAGCUGAAAUGAACAGAACUGCUAUAAUAACUUAUUCCUUUCAAUAUCAAUUUGUGUGUUCUUAAAAGCUGACAAAAAUGAGGAAAAAACUCCAAGAUGUACCACAGGACCAAAAGAUUGACACAAGUGUGUGUGUGUCAUCCCCUUUUUUUUUUUUUUUUUUGGUCAAAUUAUUACAAAUCACACAAAGCAUAUUACGGUGUUAUUAUAAAAUCAUAUUGUUCUGAUUUGGAUCUAUGAGUAGCUACUUAGAGGCACAUCUGACGUCUUCUGGAAGCUGGUUUCAUCUCAUCAUGUUUUAAAUGAACUAGAUGUUAUGAACUGGUUUGAUCUUUGUAAUCUGAGAGCUCUUUGUUUUUAAACCAUCAAUAAUAUGAAAUAAUCUCUGUAUGUUAAUAGAUAAAUAAGUUUUUGACAUCUACACACUGGCCCUGUAAAGGUGUCCAGAGAAUAUAUAUACAGUGAAAAUAGCAUAAACACACUGUCAGAUUUCCUCACACUAAUGAUGGUCUGUCUUUAUCUGUUCCAGGUUCAGGUCUGUCUCCAGCUGUUCCUGGUUCAGGUCUGUCUCCAGCUGCUGUAGCAGGAGUUGUUGGUGUUGCUGUAGCUGCUGUAGCUCUUGUGGUGUGAUUUACUUUCACCGCAGGAGAUCCAGAAAUGACAUGAAGAAAAACAAACAAGUGCUAGAACUAGUGUCUAAGGAUGAGGUAAGAUACUGCACUACUGUAGUGUGUCUUUAGAUCUGUGUUUGAUUUCACCUGCACUGACAAAAUCAUCUCAAUAAGAAACACGUUUAAAACAGUUUAAUUCACUGACUGAUGACAGAUGUGCUGAUUUUCAGAGUUUCUGUGGCUGUAAAUAACACUGUUCAUUUCUCUUUCUUCACCUUCUGUGAAUCUUUCUUUUCUUACAGAAGCAGAAUGAAGAAAGGCACAUGAUCUGAGAAAAACGCAACAGCUUACGCUAAAAAAAUACAUAAUCUGACGUCAUUGACCAGAAGAACAGCAGCAGCUGCAGCAGCCACGCCCAUCAGAGCAGUGACCACCAAUCGCAUCACAGCUUCAACUGUUCACAACAACUGAUGUGGACUUCUGUAAAUGAAAUUGUCAAUGAAAAUUAAUUAUUUAAUAAAGUCAAUGUUUUUCAA